Molecule: long non-coding RNA, 203 nt
Filed under: Prunus persica (peach)
Lineage: Eukaryota; Viridiplantae; Streptophyta; Magnoliopsida; Rosales; Rosaceae
Description: long non-coding RNA (PPER_LNC007134)
Source: RNAcentral
UAAUGUCAACGUGAUGGAUUUUUGCUUCGAAUAUAAAUAAGAACGACAUGCAAUUAGCUAGUCUAAUGAUACUUCUCUUUUUAAUGUUGAAAAAUAUCCCCAGUUCAAAUCUCCCUUCGCUCAUUGACCAAAAAGUAUGAAUGACAUGCAAUCAUUUAUGACUUCUAGCCUAAUAAUUUUACACUCCUUAAAAAGCUUUUUGC